GAUGAACGCUGGCGGCGUGCCUAAUACAUGCAAGUCGAGCGAACAGACGAGGAGCUUGCUCCUUUGACGUUAGCGGCGGACGGGUGAGUAACACGUAGGUAACCUACCUAUAAGACUGGGAUAACUUCGGGAAACCGGAGCUAAUACCGGAUAAUAUUUCGAACCGCAUGGUUCGAUAGUGAAAGAUGGCUUUGCUAUCACUUAUAGAUGGACCUGCGCCGUAUUAGCUAGUUGGUAAGUUAACGGCUUACCAAGGCAACGAUACGUAGCCGACCUGAGAGGGUGAUCGGCCACACUGGAACUGGGACACGGUCCAGACUCCUACGGGAGGCAGCAGUAGGGAAUCUUCCGCAAUGGGCGAAAGCCUGACGGAGCAACGCCGCGUGAGUGAUGAAGGUCUUCGGACCGUAAAACUCUGUUAUUAGGGAAGAACAAACGUGUAAGUAACUGUGCACGUCCUGACGGUACCUAAUCAGAAAGCCACGGCUAACUACGUG
Molecule: ribosomal RNA, 497 nt
Filed under: uncultured bacterium
Lineage: Bacteria
Description: partial 16S ribosomal RNA
Rfam family: Bacterial small subunit ribosomal RNA
Source: RNAcentral